AGGAGAGGUGGCAGGGCUUAGGUAAAUGACAGGUCACCCAUUUAUUGGUAAGUUUUUCCAGAUGUCAGUUCCAGAGCCCACGAAAUCAGUUCUUAUUGGGGCUAAGGUUUCCCGCCGGCAGGAGUGAGCAUUGGUGCUGGCGGGAGUUUUUGGCGCAGGCGGGAAAAGGAGAGGCAGGAAGAGAAGCUCCUCAGGCGCCAUGUUGGGGUUUUUUGGGGUGUGGCUGCCAUUAUACCUUUUCCCAACAUUCCUCCCUUUUUGUUUUCUUAGGAACUGGGGCGUCGUUGGUCAGAUCUGGCUGCUUCCUGCUGUGUGGGGGUGGCAUGGGACCUAGAAGGGGGACGUGGAUGAAUGUUCGGGGAGGCAGGUCCGGGGAUACCAUGGUAACCAGAAAUAUAACCCAGUGGCUAUAGACAGCUACUUUGGUAGGGGUGAAUUCUAUAAAAGUUCCCUGAAGCCACAAUUCGUUGAUGGCAUCAAACCAGUCCUGGAUGGAGGAGAUUGUUGGCAUCAGCCACUGGUCCUUUAACAGAGACUCUAGGAAAUAUUGGAAGCUUUGCCUCGACAUGGCAUCACCAGCACCUGAAGAAGAUCAGAGCGAACAAAAACAGGAUGAAGAUAAAAAUUAAAGCAAAGGUCAGUUACUGGCAGAAGUUCCAUCUUGGGGGUCUGACAGAGAAGAGUCCAAGGGCCAUGAGGAGGCAUAUAAGGACAUAAAGACUCAAGAAUCCAGGGUGGCAGACUAAGAGGUUCUCCGGGUUUCUUGCCUCCCGCUGUCCAAUGUCCGUUGCAUUCCAUCAUGCCUGGUAGUAAUCUUCAGUACUGGGUGAGCUGUUCUCUUGAAGAUGUUGGGGGUUCAUCGGUCAUCAGAGGCCGGUAGUGCCUAAGCAGAAACUGGUUGAAAGUUUGAUUGGAUAUUUUGUUAAUUUGUCCUUGAAGGAAUUUUAAAAUGCAAGGAAGGAAGGCACGGAGCAAAAAGACCCCAACCAGACGUCCCAGUAUUGGUCCAGUGGCUGAUGGGGUUUGUGAAGAGGUCCCAAAAGGAUUUUUGCACCGAUUGCUGCUUUCUUUUUUCUAGUUUUUCUUGUAACUGUUUAAUUUUGUCUUUCACUAUGCCUGACUGAUUAACAUAAAAACAACAUUCUUCCUGUAAGAACAGGCAGAGGCCUCCUUUCUCUAAGUAUAUCUAAGCCUCAGUGGUUUUGUAAGACCACUGUCACUAGGGAAUCUAAUUGAUUUUGGAGGAUAAGUAUGGACUCAGUCACCUGUUGGAGGCCAUCUACGAAUGAUUUGGACAAUUGAUCAUAGUAUGUGAGGGAGGUAGCCAAACCUGCUGUACCUGUCGCCAAACCUGCUGUAAUUCCUAAAGUAGCAAGGAGAGGUAUGAAUUGGAUCGCCCGUUUGGGUCUUAUGUGUGUCAUGAGGGGGAUUGGUAUUUCUGUAUCUCCUGGAACUAUGUCUACAUAGGGAAACAAUAGAACAAGAGUACAUGUGCCUGCCCAGUCAGGGGACAGACAGUGGUAUACAGUCAUCCCACAUAAGAGUGAUGCUUCAGAGACUGGUGGGCAGUGGGCCUUACUACCUUUUGGUAGAGAGGUUUUUUUGUUGACAUUGCUUCUCUGAUAAGUCUCCUACUGGUAUGUUUCCUGAUGACUGAAAACAUAAUGGAGCAGCCUAGUAGAGAGGGACACCUGAGAGUUUGGCUGUGGUGUCUAGGGUUGAAGAUGUCUCCUUGAGCACAGCCUGAGAACUAUUUAUUGGGUAUGCUAUUAUUUUGGGGGAUUCAGUUCCAGCCUGCAAACAUAGCCAACAUUCCUGUACAUAGUUUAUAGUUUUAGUAACCUUUAACAGGUUGAGAGAGAUAUUGACAAGUUUAAGAGAGAGAGAAGGUUCUUUGACUGUUUUCGCCCUAACCAAAUCAGGCAGCCAAUUGGGUAUAUCAAUCGUCCUCUUCCA
RNAcentral lists this long non-coding RNA (1956 nucleotides) under Marmota monax (woodchuck). The record is from RNAcentral. Lineage: Eukaryota; Metazoa; Chordata; Mammalia; Rodentia; Sciuridae.